AAGUUCUUGCACUGGAGUGUUCAAAAUUUUUGGUCUUUGAUAUUCUUUCCUUGCAUUGCUGACUGUGAACGCUUGUCGUGAGAAAUUAGUUAGAGAAUGUUUGUUUGUUUUUAUGUUUUUAUGUUUGUGUUUGUGUUAAACCGACUUAAACCUUUACAUUUGUUUAUGUUUGUGUCUUUAUGCUAUUUGUUCAAGUUUUGUUUGUGUCUUUAUCCUUUAUGGCCUGGCUGUCUUUCUAGUCUAUGGUCUCUUUAUUCAUGUUGUGCCUUCAUCUCAGUUGUGAGAUGUAUCUUUUCCCUUGCAAUAUAAAUAACCUAAAGAAUGAGUCAAUGGUAUAUGUAGUCAGGUAUUUACUCCUUCCCUUUAUUUAACUUUUAUUACCAUUACUCUUUCUUUAUUUUAUUUUUCAUGUGGUUUGUUGUUUUCAUAAUUUCAUGUUGCUUUUCGAAUUCCUAAGUCAAUUAGAAAUUGGCUUCGAAAGUUAAAAUUAGUUAUAGAACACCACAAGUUUCCUAAUGGUUUCCUAAUGGUAAGUUUGGAUGAAAGUGAAUCUUAUUUUGAUCUCAUAUUUUUAGCUCUUGUGUACUGUCUUCAAUGUCUUCAAUAUCCUAGUAUUGUAUUUGUCACGCGGCGUGGUCACCCGAGCUCAACGAUACUCAAUCGUGGAAAGGGGCAUUGUGUUGGUCAGGUUUAUUCUUUUCACUUUUUUUCUUGCGAUUCUUUCUGAUGGUAAUGUUUUGAUACAUUUAUCUCGAAUUGUUGCUGCAUAUGGCUAUUUGUCUACAAAGCGAUAGUGUGAAAGUAAGUAGUUUUUGUUAAGGAAGCAGUAGUUAGAUGCAAAUAGAGACGCAGAAGUUUCUAUUGAAGUGCGAGGUACAAGAAAAUUGGAAGAUGCGUGAGUACACCAUGCUUUGGAGCAUCAUAUUCUGUUUUGUUUUCUUUAUUUGCUUAUUUCCCCCUCAUCGGGCUUGUAUUUAUUAGUUUUUUAUUAGUUGCGGGUGUGACUUUAGUAUGGUUGAAGGUUUUCUCAUUCCAUCCGGUGCUGUUUUUGAAAGACAUUGUUCUCAUCCUCACCCAUUUCAACCACCUAAGACAAUUAGAAAGCUAAAAGGUAAUCCAAGAGGUGGUAAGUUUUGAUUAAUCCAACUUGAACACGCUGGUGGAAAUGAAUCAAAUGAUGGUGAGUAUUCAGUAGAGAAGCACUUCUUGACAUUUUAAAACAGAAGAUGAUGCUUAUCCAAUUCAAACACUUAGGUGUAUAUCUUAUAUGUCUCUAUUCCCGUAGGCAGGUAUGGGAAGUUUUAUUGUCCCAUCCACAUGCACUUUUCCUAGCAGAGACUCUAAAAUGGAGAACUUGGUUCAUUGGUUGUGUGUUGAAGAGAAACAAAUGAGAACUUGAGGUAUGGGAAGUUUUGUUGUCCCAUCCACAUGCAUUUUUUCCUAGCUGAGACUCUAAAAUGGAGAACUUGGUUGCCUGUUGAAGAGAAACAAAUGAGAACUUGAGGUAACUUGAUUGAUACAAGGAUUCGUUUUACACUAUUGAUAUUGUUUGGACUUUGGAGGGAGCACUUGGUCUUCAUGUUGUCUCUCUUCUCCUCUCAUUUCCUCUCUUUCCUCUCUCCUCCCCUUUCCUCUUUUCCUUUCUCUUUCUCCCUCCCUUCCCGUUGUUGGAUUGUGUUCCAAUGAUAUUUUAAUUGAAUGUUUGUUAUUUUUUGUAUAUAUUUAAUUAGAUAGAUUUAGUAGUAGUUAGCUUCUCGGGUGACUAUUACUGACAGUUUUCUAUUAAUUGUAUUGUAUUUGUUCCAUAUCUUAUUGUUUAUUUAUU
This is a long non-coding RNA of Momordica charantia (bitter melon), 1825 nucleotides long. RefSeq lists it as uncharacterized. NCBI's taxonomy places the organism in Eukaryota, Viridiplantae, Streptophyta, Magnoliopsida, Cucurbitales, Cucurbitaceae. The record is from RefSeq and is a predicted model, not a curated record.